Molecule: long non-coding RNA, 636 nt
Organism: Eriocheir sinensis (Chinese mitten crab)
Lineage: Eukaryota; Metazoa; Arthropoda; Malacostraca; Decapoda; Varunidae
Exons: 3
Source: RefSeq, a predicted model, not a curated record
AGCUGUUCACAGGAAGAAUACAGGAAAUCGAACACCAGAGGUCAGCACAGUCAGGGGGAGGCUGCGUUCCGCCGCGUCUAGCAGCGUGCCCAUCCUCAGGUGAGGCAAGGCACUGAACACCACUCUGGGCUUCACCUCAACAUCCUGGGCUUCACCUCAACAUCCUGGGCCUCACCUCAACACGGCGGGUUCAUGAGGAGGAAGAAGAAGAAUGGCAGAACAAAUAAGGUGAUGGAUGCGCGGACCAAACUCAAUACUGGCAUGUGGUGAGAGCAAACACAAUGGUGAGUUUUAAAUGGACGCUGUAUAGAUUUAUGGCUGGCGGAACAGAUGGUUAAUAACUGACUCACAGCGGCUGCCAUUUGGGGACUUAACUGACCUUUUGUGGAGUCCUUUACAUCCUUACGUAUCCUUGGGGCGCCACACGUAUCCAAGAACAGACAGAGGGAGGUAGACGGAUUGGCAGACAGUAUAGGACUCACAGACCCUACCUUUCGUGGACUUAGAGGAAGGUAUAGACAGGUGGGGAAGACAGAAUGACACGCACCGCCGCUAAUGACCAAGACAAAGACGGACAGACAAAGAGACAGACAAAGAGACGGACAGACAAUCAGGAAGACGUAAACACACAGACAG